GUGCUUGUUUUGGCAGCACAUAUACUAAAAGUGGAAUGAUACUGAGUAGAUUAGCACCGUCCCUGUGCCAGGAUGACACACAUUUGUUACAAAAACGUUCAGUCUCU
Ornithorhynchus anatinus (platypus) is the source of this 107-nucleotide small nuclear RNA. The record is from RefSeq and is a predicted model, not a curated record. Lineage: Eukaryota; Metazoa; Chordata; Mammalia; Monotremata; Ornithorhynchidae.